RNAcentral lists this long non-coding RNA (595 nucleotides) under Cyanistes caeruleus (blue tit). RNAcentral describes it as "lncRNA (ENSCCEG00000004051.1)". Lineage: Eukaryota; Metazoa; Chordata; Aves; Passeriformes; Paridae. The record is from RNAcentral.
CUGCUCUUCUGAUUGUUUUCUGUCAGCUCAGAGAGAGUAACUUGUGGUGUCCACAUUGAGCCCCCAGUUUAUGGCAUUAUUGCUCAGGGACUGUAAACAGGAUUCACCAGAAGUCAGAUGUGUCUCCAUGGGCCCAACAAAAAACAAAAAACAGGAGUUUUGUGCAGGCUUAGAUAAAUAUCAUUCAAAUCAUGGAGUCUGAUUCGUGAGUCAGGACCAUGGCAGCCCUCCAAAACCUCCUGCCCAUGGAGUGUGUUUGUGUGAGAGGGAGAGAGAGUUUCACUGCGUGAAGAGUAAGAAACUGGAAGCCAAGUGAAUUAAAUACAAAGCAGAUAAUUAUGUGUAAUUCAUUUACUGACUAAUGAUUGCACCUUGGUAUGGAGGUUCAUGAAUUUGACUCUGCAAGGUUCUCAAGAACAAUCUCCUUGCUACAAGAUAAGAGCUGGCUGACUUGUUAACAGACCAGUGUUUACAUUAGUGUUAUUGUAAGAUUCUGCCUUUUUGGCUCAUUUCACGUUUUACCUCAUGGCCAUUCACUUUUCCUGGGUUCAUCUGGUGUCUCUGACAGUUUCAAUAGCUCAGUGCUGGUCAAGGC